Bacillus rossius redtenbacheri is the source of this 2704-nucleotide long non-coding RNA. RefSeq lists it as uncharacterized. The record is from RefSeq and is a predicted model, not a curated record. Lineage: Eukaryota; Metazoa; Arthropoda; Insecta; Phasmatodea; Bacillidae. The transcript is spliced from 2 exons.
UUAGUAAAAAAAAAAAAAUAUUGAAAAUGUUAGUUUUGAACUCUUAAUAUGCCAUUUCUCUAUCCACCUAAAGAGCAUUUUGUAAUUUAUAGUGGAUCGUCAGUGUUACAGUGAUGCUGUGGUAAAUGUUUAUUCGAACAUCAACUUCAAUUAUUGUGGAAAUAAGUAUUUUUGCUUUUUAUAAAAACAUUAAUUUUUUCAAUUUUUUUGCAGAUUCUCAUUUUUAGUUAUUAAAGACACUGGAUUACUUAAAUGAACCUUUGAACAGUUUCUGCUUAUUUAGCUAUACACUGUUUUCACUUAAUUGUGUUCCAGAGAACUGAAAACCUGAAAACAAAUACCUUAUUACUUAUGUAGUAAUACUGAUGGCUCUCGUCAUCAGAGAUUCUCAGAUCAAGUACCUGAACACCUUUGUGACAGAAUUACUUGUAUUUCUAGACCAGGGUACAAGGUUCAGGAUCUUGUACCAGUUAUUAAAGAAGUUGGUCCCUACUUUAGUAAUGUUGUCCUCCAUUGUGGAACCAACAAUGUGCUACGUGAGGAUGAAGAGACCAUCACGAAGCGUAUUUUGGAAUUUGCAGAGACUUUGCAGAGUGUAAAUUCGUAUGCUACACUUAUGGUAUCUGGCAUUCUGCCAAGGAAAAGGAAUGGAUACCUCUGCAAAACAUCUAGCCAGCAUGUAGCAGGUCUGAAUUUAAUGUCAGCUUAGGAAAACAAAAUGUUGUGACAUCAACUACCAGGUACGGAGGUAGUGUACAUUGAACUUUGGGAUUUGUUUUUGCAGCCAGGAAUGAUAUCGUUUUGAUGGACUUCACGUCACAUUGUCUGUUCUUACCGAACAAAAGGUUGAUCUUUCCAUGAUGACUUCCAUAAUUUCCUGUGUGCAGCACCUUUAUCUUCCUGUAAAGACUUUCCUUCCCUGGCAGAAUCUUGUGCAGGCUAUAAGCAUUUUGCCCCACCUCAAGUCCCAAAAGUCAAACGACCUGCUUUUCAGAGUAUUUCUCAGUGUGUGAUGUCUUUGCCUAGCCAUUUUCAUUUAUUAUCUCCUGCACCUUUUGUAGUGCCCAAUUCCUUUGCCCCAGUAAAUAUUUUGCCAUCAGCUAUAGAGUCCUAUUUAAGUGAUUUUGAGACUCCUAUCUGUACCCCAUCUUCUGGACAUGUCUCCUGCACCUCAUUUUUUCCCUUCAGACAAUCAAUUGUUUCUGCCCUCAGCUCACAUUUGUUAUGGAAAUGAGGGUGCAACCUCUGUCCGCAGCCCAUCACUUUCACCUCGCUUACCAUUGCCAUCUUUUCGGCAUCCCAAUAAACUGGCAGUCAGCAGCGAUACUUCAAAAGAGAUUUCCUGCCCCUUUUGGCCACACAUCAAAACAUUUGCCCACGAAAACAAGUUCAGUGUUUUGAUGUCUGUAAAAACAGAGAAUGAAGAUGUCGGCACGUUUGUACAUAGUUUUAAGUAGUAAAAAGCGCAGCAAGAAAAGUACAUAUUGUAGUCGUAAGAUUAGUGUCAGUGCAAGAAAAGUCCAGAAACGUAUGGAUGGAAAAGGGGGGACGGAGCAUUUCAUGAUCAGAAGGGGUAUUGUUCAGUAAUUAUAAGGAAUUUACAAAGGUAUUUGAACAGUGGGUAGAUGAAAGACACCAUCCAAUGAGAGUGAACCAUUCUGUAAGAAGUCCUGGUGGUGGUGGUGAUGAUAUCCCUUACGUGCAGGUAAAAUAUGCAUGUAAACAUUUUGGUAAGGCUAGGAUUGGAGGUAAUGAUGUUCGGCCAAAUCAGAAGUAUAAUGCCAGAGGCUGCCCGGUACAUGUGAAAGUUAUUUAUAAUAAUAAGUUGAAAUUUUAUGUUGUACGUAGUUUAAUUCAUUGCCAUAAUCAUGCAACCGGCCCAGGUGUUAUACAUUAUCCUGAUAGAUUAUUAUAGGCAAUUGCCCCUUUAAUCUAACAUAUAAUGGGUACGAAGGAAUGGAGACAGUUUAUUGGGGAUGAAAGUGGAAAAAUGUUACAGUCAAAGGAUAUUCGCAAUUUACGUCAAUGGGCAAAAAAGAGUUUUUGUUGAUGGGUGCAAGCAGUCAGCUUUGUUGGUAGAUGAGCUCAUGAAACUGCAAGGGGAAAUUGGCUGUUCAGUUCAUGUAGAAACUGAUGAAAAUGAUGAACUACGUACUUUUUCUUGUCAUGCAGACUAGUUGUAUGAAAAAAUUUAGCGAGUAAGUACAGUAAUGUGUUGAUGAUAGAUGAUUUAAGGAAUAUUUUAUGAUGCAUGAUAUUUUGUUAUAGUAUAUAUAUUUUUGUAUUUACAGUAUGAACGUGUGGAAGUUAUUAGAAAAAGUUGCAACUGUGGUAUUUGCUGUUGAGAGUCAUGCUGGCAUAAUUCUUAUCUUGGAGGGUGUGUGUUCUAGCAGUGACUUAGUUUUUGAGGUGAUGUGGACGAAGCUCUGUGAUGUGAUGGCAGUGGUGUGGCCUGUGAUACCGCUCUCCAGCCCAAUUAUCCUUAUUUAAUGUUGCACAAAUUGUGGAUGAUGAGUAAAGGAAAAUAAUUGUAAGUUUGGUUGAUUCUAUUCGGAGAGCUCUAAAUGUUAACUGUUGCCGUGCUGUGUCCUCUUUGUUAAUUAUUUUGCAUGUGAGCUGUAUCAAGUAAAGUUUGUGGACACACGUCAUUUGUUGAAUAAUGUUUGGCUUCUUUACAGAGCAUAUUAAAGUUGUCAUAAAUGAA